GUAAGUCUCAUAUCUGUGGGUGGGGUUGAGGAAAAUAGGCAAAAGUUAAGGUUCUAUUGGAAAACCAGAAACCAAUGUAAGAGAUACUUAAUCCUUCCACACACACACACACAAAAAAAAAAUCUUAUUAAGGUGGACAAAAGUAUAUUGGGUUUCUCUUUUUAAAAAGCUUCUGUAGGUUGGGGAUAUAGUACAGUUGGUAG
RNAcentral lists this long non-coding RNA (203 nucleotides) under Marmota monax (woodchuck). The record is from RNAcentral. Lineage: Eukaryota; Metazoa; Chordata; Mammalia; Rodentia; Sciuridae.